ACUGAAGGAGCAAAGGGUUUUUGUUUGGCUGCUAAUCAAAAGGUUGAUGGUUUGAACCCAUCCAGCAGUG
This 70-nucleotide transfer RNA is filed under the name Loxodonta africana (African savanna elephant). It matches the Rfam family "tRNA". Rfam says of the family: Transfer RNA (tRNA) molecules are approximately 80 nucleotides in length. Their secondary structure includes four short double-helical elements and three loops (D, anti-codon, and T loops). Further hydrogen bonds mediate the characteristic L-shaped molecular structure. tRNAs have two regions of fundamental functional importance: the anti-codon, which is responsible for specific mRNA codon recognition, and the 3' end, to which the tRNAs corresponding amino acid is attached (by aminoacyl-tRNA synthetases). tRNAs cope with the degeneracy of the genetic code in two manners: having more than one tRNA (with a specific anti-codon) for a particular amino acid; and 'wobble' base-pairing, i.e. permitting non-standard base-pairing at the 3rd anti-codon position. The record is from Rfam by way of RNAcentral. Lineage: Eukaryota; Metazoa; Chordata; Mammalia; Proboscidea; Elephantidae.